GUACACCCCACGCGUGACUGUGUCUGCGGGAGACUCUUUGCCGCCUCCUUGGAAAGUGUCGCCAUCACAACCGCAGCAGCGGCACUACAAGCACACGCGCCCAGGCGCCGUAGGAGAGAGAGAAUGAGAAGUCCGUACAUUCGUUUCCCCAGCCCCUCCCUCGCGGAGGAAGCGCUACGCCUUGAGUGGGUCUUCGGCCUCAACAGCGACUACAAGGCUAGCAUCCACAACCUCAGCAUUGGCGGUGGUGGCGUCAGUGGCCGAGGAGAAAACCAACAGCAGCUGGCGCAGCAGCAGCGGAAGGUCUUCUACACGGUGGCUCACACGGGUGUCUUGUACGACGCAAUCCAAAACACGCAGAAGCACCUCCUGGGGCACCGGUACUCCAUCAUCAGCAGUAGCUGCUGCGGCCACAACCACCGCUUCAUCGUGACGGCUGACGAGGGCGACGUCAAGGUGCGCCGGCGCAUUCAGCAGCAGGUGGUGCUCACGCAGUUGGCCAAGGGCCACGCGGGCGAGUCGCAGAAAGAUGUGGAGGAGGAAGAGCUAUGGGAAGAGGCUGCCAUGUGCGUCGAUCCCUCCGUCGCGAAGCGCGACGACGAGGAGGACGGGUCCGCCAUGAUUGUGUGGGACGCGGCUACCGCGCUACCGGUGAAAAUGAUUGCCACAGGCAAGUACGGCGGUGUCCUGAGCGUCGCCAUGUCGCCAGAUGGGCAAUACCUCGCCACCCUCAACCGCCGAGAUCCGCAGGAAAUCAUGAUCUGGGCCUGGACACAAUCGAAUCCCGCCUCGGUGGGAGGAAUGCCUGGCAACAUCGGAGGAACCCAUAACGCUGCUAACCUCCUCGCAGAUGUUGAUAUGGCCCCCGUCUUUGUGCGGCGCAUCGCUGCGCGCGAUGAGCAGACGUUCAUCUCCUUCUCGCAGGACAACCCAGAGCUGCUGUGCACGAACGGGCUGCGCCGCGUCAUUUUCUGGUCUUGGGUGGAGGGGAUGCUGAAGUACUACUCGCCGCCCAUCCUCCAGCGCCGCCUCAAGGCCUCUGUCGGUAACUUCACUCAGACAGUGUAUCUGCCUGGCACGAUGAUGGCGUGCAGUGGCACCGUCGACGGCGAUGUGGUUCUCUGGUCCUUGCAGCCGCAGGACCGCGUCAUCAAGGAGCAGGAUAAAUCGCUGCUGAAGAUGGUGCGGGUGCACAUCGGCGGCGUGACCUUCAUCACGACAGUGCAAGGGUACAUCGUCACGGGCGGCAUGGACGGUGUCGUCAAGUUCCUGGAUGCCAAGCUUCGACUGGUGGCGUGGUUCGAUGACCUCAACGGCGGUCCCAUCGUCUCCAUCAGCUUCGACCAAGUGCUGCCGGUGAUGACGGUGGAGGAGGCGCGGGCGAUGGCGCCGGAGCAGGUCGAUGGUCACCUUCUCACUGAAGGCACCGCCGCCGCGAGCCUGUUCACCGCGCCGGAUUUCAUGGUGUCGACGGCGCACAGCAUGAUCAUCGACGUGCCAGCGAAGGCAUUCCACACGCCCGGCACCGCCGCUCACGCGGGCCCCAACACAGCGGCACGCGGACGGCUCAUCGUGCAGGGUCAAGACCGCGCCAUCCAGUGUCUGGCGGCCCACCCGCACCUGCCGCGGCUGGCGAUCGGCGGGUACAGCGGCAAUCUGCACCUCUGGGACUACUGCGAGAAGCGAGUGGUGCUGCUGAGCCUCUUCCGCAACCUGCUGAUCCGCUGCUUGGCCUUCGACCCGUCGGGCAAGUGGCUCGUUGUCGGCUUCACCAACGGCGUCAUAAAGGUGCUGGAUGGGGAGACGCUGGAGGAGGAGCAGACGAUUCGCCCCAUAGCCAGCGCCACGGCAGUCGGCACGGCAGCCAGCGAUGGUGCCACAGCAGCCGCAGCGCAGCCCUCGUCGCCGGGCAACGGCAAGCAGAGUGUCGCCGAACAGCAGCAGCAACAGCAAGCAACGGUGAGCAAGGCGGCCGCCAGUGUGGAGGAGAUCCGCUUCUCCCCUGACAGCCUCCUCAUGGCCACCGCCAAAGACGACGGCUCCGUCGGCCUGUACGAGUAUGUAAAGGCGUCCGGGUCUACCAAGAAGGCGGAGUGGCAGCUCGUGGGCCACCACAAGACGCACAACGCACCUAUCUGCGGCCUCCACUUCGGCGCCCACACAGCCGGCUUAGAGGAAGGGCUGAGGCUCCUCUCCGUGGGCGCUGACAAGCGACUCAUCGAGUACGAGCUCGUCGACUCCAGCCCCGAGACGGGGCUUCUCCUACGCACGGCGCAUAAGAUAUCGCAGGAGUCGGCGCCGACAGGCUUCGCCUGGCUGCCAGACGGGUACUCGCUGCUGGACGCAGCGAGCCAGCCGCGCGACUUCUUUGAUACCUGCGGCGAAAGUAGUGACGACAGGACAGAGGACGGUAGUGCUGCGCACGAAAGGGGCGACGACGACAAGGCCGCCAGCACCGCAGGAGGCGGUGGUAGCGGCACGGAUGUGCUGGACAUGCUGCUGAUCGCCACCCGCGAGUAUAAGUUUCAGGUGUACCUCAGCAACUGGAGUCGGCAGUGUGUCAAGACAGUCUUGGCGCCGACGUUCGGCGGCCCGGUGACGCAGAUGGCUAUUGUGCCGGUAGCGAAGGCACCCGCCGCACCUGCGUCGACAUCUUCCCCGCCGCCAUCUCACUGCUUGGUGUACGCGACCAAGGAGAAGGUGAUUGGGCUCACUCAGCUCCCCCUCCGCGGCGAUCCGUGCGGCUCCAUCGGCAUCCUCGCCCACCCAGGCGUCAUCACCAGCAUGGUCACCUCGCACGACGGCGCCAUCGUCUUCACGGCGGGCGGGCCUGACCAGGCUGUCAUGCAGUGGCGCGUGCGCGGCGAAUACAUCAUGUCACCGUCGGAGUGGGCGGCCGUCGUGCACUGCCGGGAGAAGGGCGGCGUGCCACUGCCUCAUCUCGUCGGCGCGGUCGAGGGCGGCGCUGACGGUGAGUUGAUGAACGAAGUGGUGGACUACUUCUAUUACGCCCAAAUCCGCGCGCAGGGUGAGGAGACAACGGCGAAGCGCGUGCUGCUCGGCGCCAUUCCGUUUUCUCAGAUGCCGAACCUUCUGCGCUCUCUCUGCUACUACCCGUCCGAGAAGGAAAUCGGGCACCUGACCUACGAGGUGGCGAACAUGUAUGGCCCACGGGACGAACCGCUCGCUGAGGUGAAUGUGGACACCAUUCUGCUUGACUUCUCGCAGUUCCUGCGGUUGUACAUCAAUUACCGCCCCGUGUUCGGCAUCACGCGGCAAGAUAUCGAGGCAGCCUUCCGCGCGCUGGGCGCGGAUAGGGUGACGGGGGAAAUCAACCGCGACCACCUCUUCCAUCUGCUGUCCACCGAGGGGGAGUCGCUCAAGUCCAGCGAGGUCGCCGCGGCUUUGACGUCGCUGCUCGGCGACGGCAUCCGGCUCGAAAUGCUCGAGGACGUCAUUACAGCACGCACCUUCGCGAAGAACCUGCUGGGCUUCGAGGAUUACGACGACGACCUUGGACCGGACGGUAAGGAACGGCGUGGCAACGGCGUGGACAGCGAGGAUGACUACGAUAGCAGCAGCGGCAUGUACACCGCCGGCGACGAGGUCGACGUCAACACGCUUGCCUAGUAACCGGUGGCUACGGAAUGGAUAGCAGCGGCGCAAGCCAGCAGUGGUGUAGGUGCAGCAGUGUUGUGGUUUGUCCCUCGCUCAUGUACGUAGAUUGAAUCCCUUCUUCUCUCACUUAUGAGCUCCGUGAGAGAAGGAAAGGGGGGUGGGAAGCGAGGGAAGCGAGGAAAGCGGGAGACGGUCGCCUUAUCUCCAGCACGUACACGCUAGCGCAGUGAGCGCAUACCCUUCUACAGAGCGCGCUGCUUGUCAGUCUCUCUGAGCGUGUUUCUGUGCUCCUAUGUGUGCCCCUCUGCAGGAUAACGAUGUAAACUAGCCAGGUGCGUGCGCCCGGAGCGGGAUGAAGCAUGCAGGCGGAAGAGGAAGAGGAACGGCUCCGGAACACUCUAAUACACAUCGGUGUGUGUCUGUCUCUUGGGAGGGGCGGAAGCGGAUGUCUGCCGCGUCCCAAGCCCUCCCCUCACUCAGCAACAGC
This 4105-nucleotide unclassified non-coding RNA is filed under the name Leishmania donovani. RNAcentral describes it as "gene:LdHU3.25.2100(CDS-product:WD_domain_G-beta_r epeat_putative)". The record is from RNAcentral. Lineage: Eukaryota; Euglenozoa; Kinetoplastea; Trypanosomatida; Trypanosomatidae.